CCCUUAUCCCCUAGAGAGUUGUUUCUAGUUUCUACCCAUGAACAGAAUGCCUUGGAGAUAAUAGCUUGUCAAACAACCAGCAAUCCUUAAGGGUGCGUUUGGUUACACCUUUUGAUUUUUGAUUUUCAAAAAGUAUUUUUUAUUUUUUUAUUUUUGCUAUUGAGUAAAAGCAAAAAAGUAAAAAAUAUAUUUGGUAACUAUAUUGCUGUAGAGCAAAAAGCAACAUUUGAGGAUGGC
Molecule: long non-coding RNA, 237 nt
Filed under: Elaeis guineensis (African oil palm)
Lineage: Eukaryota; Viridiplantae; Streptophyta; Magnoliopsida; Arecales; Arecaceae
Description: long non-coding RNA (EGUI_LNC055720)
Source: RNAcentral